Molecule: ribosomal RNA, 425 nt
Filed under: uncultured bacterium
Lineage: Bacteria
Description: bacterial SSU rRNA
Rfam family: Bacterial small subunit ribosomal RNA
Source: RNAcentral
GGGGAAUUUUGGACAAUGGGCGCAAGCCUGAUCCAGCAAUGCCGCGUGCAGGAUGAAGGCCUUCGGGUUGUAAACUGCUUUUGUACGGAACGAAAAGGCUCUGGUUAAUACCUGGGGUCUAUGACGGUACCGUAAGAAUAAGCACCGGCUAACUACGUGCCAGCAGCCGCGGUAAUACGUAGGGUGCAAGCGUUAAUCGGAAUUACUGGGCGUAAAGCGUGCGCAGGCGGUUUUGUAAGACAGAGGUGAAAUCCCCGGGCUCAACCUGGGAACUGCCUUUGUGACUGCAAGGCUGGAGUACGGCAGAGGGGGAUGGAAUUCCGCGUGUAGCAGUGAAAUGCGUAGAUAUGCGGAGGAACACCGAUGGCGAAGGCAAUCCCCUGGGCCUGUACUGACGCUCAUGCACGAAAGCGUGGGGAGCAAAC